ACCACCACCUUCUCCCCCGCUUCUUCUUCUUCUGCUUCAUCUUCUUUUUCUUGCCUCACUCACUCAUUGGCUUCUGCUUCCAGCCGUCAUUGAGGUGCGAUGAAAAAACUCUUGGAUGUCGAGGGAAUGAGAGAAUGAGAGUG
This is a non-coding RNA of Caenorhabditis elegans, 143 nucleotides long. The record is from Ensembl. Lineage: Eukaryota; Metazoa; Nematoda; Chromadorea; Rhabditida; Rhabditidae.